RNAcentral lists this long non-coding RNA (312 nucleotides) under Mytilus galloprovincialis (Mediterranean mussel). Lineage: Eukaryota; Metazoa; Mollusca; Bivalvia; Mytilida; Mytilidae. The record is from RNAcentral.
AAAUGACAUAAAAUGCCUAGUAUGAAAUGAGGUAAGUAAAUAACAUAUCCAGAAUGACUCUACCAGUCGGCACAUGUUUACUACGGUUUAAAUUCCUCGACUAUAUCGUCUGUAAAUAACUCGGUGCAAAGUAUAUAUCGUCGCUGGGUUUCUAAAAUGUCGUAUAUGACUUUUUUGGCUAAAAACACUUUUUGACACCAAUGGUCUGGGCGAGAGAAAAUCUUUGGUAUUACAAAAUAGCAUACAGUUAGACCAAUCAAAAUGUGUAAAAUAAGACAUAUUACAAAAUUGCCAAUGUCAGUUGUUUGUAAA